UCGCCACCCCAAAACCCCCUCCCUUCCUCUCCCCGACGCUCCCCUCGCUCCGAGCCUUCAUCCUCUUCGGCCAGAUCAACCGGGCGCGGCCCCUACCCUAAGCAGGGAGGGCGGAUCGCCGCUGCGCGGGCGCACGGGAAGGGGUGGCGGCGGAAGCGCAUCCCCAAGAUCUAGCCCGUCAAGCACCGUGUCGAAGUCUCUCCUUCGAGGAGCUCUAUGUGCGGGUGUGCGGAGGCGCUCGUGAGGGCGGUGGUGGCCUUCUUCGACGCCUUCCUCGUUGACUGCUUCCUCUUCUGGUUCCGCCGCCACCGCCGCCGCCCCGGCCCCGACAGCCCCGCCUCCGCCCACCGGGAUCCGCUCGUGCCCAAGGACUGGACAGGGGAGGCGCUCCCGGCCUCGGACGAAGAGAAAGGUUUUGCAGAGAGCACAUUGCCGAACCAACAGUUGGCAGAUGGCGAUGACACAGAUGAGGAGCUUAGGCGAGAGAACACUACUUCAGUUAAUACACUAUCCAGUACUGCUAGUUCUCAUCUCACUUGUUGUGCUUCUUGUACUAGGAGCACUCUUUGUUAUCCCAAGAUCUAACAUCAAAGGCAACAUGGUGAAUCUAGCACAGGCAUCGUUGGCCAUCCUCUUCGAGGCUGUGUUUAGUGUAGGAUGAGCUGCAGCAGGACAACCUGUAGCGGAAGAACUUCGAGGACAAGAUCAAGGAGAACCAGGAGACGAUCACCGGUUACCUCAUCCUCGUCGGCAUGGUUGGCUCCUUUGGCAGACCCCUCUUUGGCUCCGACCAACUUACUUUUGUCGCUGGUAGCAGCAUUUCCAGGUACAGUUGUGUCCUGCUCUCUUGCCCUCCGUUUAGUUUUUGUUGGAGUGUGCAUGGUGGCAUCCUGAGCCUGCACUGUAAAAUAUGCUUUGCCUUCUUCAUGAGCUGGCACUAUAAAUUUUGCUUUGUCUUGUUGAUAAUGCCAUAUGUCCUAUGCAAUCAGAUUACAUUUCUGUUUGUUAUGGUAGUAUAAAAAAUAUUGGUGUUGUCGUAAUUUUCAUAGUGUGUGCCUUUCAUUUCUUUAUUUUGAUUGUUUCCAUUUGUAUUCUAUAUGCUUCUAAUGGCUGAUCCUUCCAAUGCCAGGUGUUGUGUGUUCUGGAAGAUGGAAGAGGAAGAAAAUUUAUUUUUGUUGAACUAUUUAUUUUUUUAUUAUGUUUGUUGUACAUAUGAUUUAUAGUUCUGUAUAGGAAUAUGAUUUGAGAAUCAUUUGUAUGAAUAUGGGCCGCAUAUAUGUGAAUGGGCUGAGAAGUGUACUGGACCAACUCCCAAGAUUGAAUUAUUAUUUGACUGUAUAAAAAGGCUGAAUGUAAACCAGAAAAUGCGCUGCACAAAAUAGUACAUAUAUUCUUGGAAGGCCAAACGUGCAUAAAAAUUGAUGGGCUGAAUAGUUGGGCUUGGCCCAUGUAGCUGACAAAAAUUAACAGAAAUAAAUGUACUAAAUGGGCUAAAUUGUUGGGCUCGGCCCGUUUAAAACACCGAACUGGACCGGGCUGAUUCUUAUCCACGUCAGCUUGCCACGCUGGAUCCUACGUGGUCUGGGGAGGCUGCUAGUGACCAAAAUUUUGGUCGAAGAACCAACGACCUUUUACAGAAGGUCGUUAAUUUCAGUUUACGACUGC
Molecule: non-coding RNA, 1665 nt
Organism: Aegilops tauschii subsp. strangulata
Lineage: Eukaryota; Viridiplantae; Streptophyta; Magnoliopsida; Poales; Poaceae
Source: RefSeq, a predicted model, not a curated record